AGAGUUUGAUCCUGGCUCAGGACGAACGCUGGCGGCGUGCUUUAGACAUGCAAGUCGAACGCGAAAGCCCUUCGGGGUGAGUAGAGUGGCGAACGGGUGAGUAACACGUGGGUAACCUGCCCCUUGCUGGGGGAUAACCGGGGGAAACCCCGGCUAAUACCCCAUACGCUUGCUGGAUCGCAUGGUCCGGUAAGGAAAGGUAGCUUCGGCCAUCCGGUGAGGGAUGGGCCCGCGAUGCAUUAGCUAGUUGGUGGGGUAAAGGCCUACCAAGCCGACGAUCUGUAGCUGGUCUGAGAGGACGACCAGCCACACUGGGACUGAGACACGGCCCAGACUCCUACGGGAGGCAGCAGUGGGGAAUUGUUCGCAAUGGGCGCAAGCCUGACGACGCAACGCCGCGUGGAGGAUGAAGGUCUUCGGAUUGUAAACUCCUGUUGCCCGGGACGAAACGCUUCGACCUAACACGUUGAAGUCUGACGGUACCGGGUGAGGAAGCCCCGGCUAACUCUGUGCCAGCAGCCGCGGUAAUACAGAGGGGGCUAGCGUUGUUCGGAAUUACUGGGCGUAAAGGGCGCGUAGGUGGCCUGUUAAGUCGAACGUGAAAUCCCCGGGCUCAACCCGGGAACUGCGUCCGAGACUGGCAGGCUCGAAUCCGGGAGAGGGAUGUGGAAUUCCAGGUGUAGCGGUGAAAUGCGUAGAUAUCUGGAGGAACACCGGUGGCGAARGCGGCAUCCUGGACCGGUAUUGACGCUGAGGCGCGAAAGCCAGGGGAGCAAACGGGAUUAGAUACCCCGGUAGUCCUGGCCCUAAACGAUGAAUGCUUGGUGUGGCGGGUAUCGAUCCCUGCCGUGCCGAAGCUAACGCAUUAAGCAUUCCGCCUGGGGAGUACGGUCGCAAGG
RNAcentral lists this ribosomal RNA (899 nucleotides) under uncultured bacterium. Its description in RNAcentral is "bacterial SSU rRNA". It matches the Rfam family "Bacterial small subunit ribosomal RNA", at positions 8 to 893 of the family's 1533-position model. The record is from RNAcentral.